Molecule: long non-coding RNA, 739 nt
Organism: Chiroxiphia lanceolata (lance-tailed manakin)
Lineage: Eukaryota; Metazoa; Chordata; Aves; Passeriformes; Pipridae
Exons: 5
Source: RefSeq, a predicted model, not a curated record
UGGGCAGGGACCUGGGCGGGCACCUGUGCGGGGACCUGGGCAGGGACCUGUGCCAGCCCCUCUCCUCGGGCACUGCCCGAAUCCCAGGAAAAACGCCCCCAAACGCCAGCACCCACGGCGCCCGCUCUGCCCUCUCCCCCCCGAAAAACCGAGCACCGGGCCCCGGAGGGUGUUUUAAAGACAAGUGUUCGUGAAGAGCAAGGUCAGUCCCGGGACUGAGAACUUUACUCGGGUGCGACGGUGGAUUUAAUUCCAGCAGUCAGCCCCGCGGCCGGGACAGAGGGAUAACCGGGGAUGUACCACCGUAAAACAACCCCGAGGCUUCCCUGGAAGAUCCUGACAGUUUCGGGAAGGCUCUGUUACUUUCCAGUCAUUUCCAGGGUAAAUUUAUCCACCACUGAGGGAGAAGCCCAGCGGCUCCUGCCCCCGUGGAAAGGGUGCCGAGAGGAAGAGCUGCAGCCCGAGGCCGGCUGAACACCCGGGGUUAAAACCAGAGUAUGUUUGCUCAGCAGAUACCCGAAGGAGUGACCCCGAGGUUUGCUCUCCCGUUUUGCUCUGUCGGCCCCUUUGCGUUUACAGGUGGGCUUUGUGCGUUUGUUCCUCAAAAGUAGCUAUUAUUGCUGUUAAUGAUUGUAAAGAUGUAAAAAAGGACGUUAGAAAAAAGUGAAUUCGCAGCCUUCGAGCAGAGAGCACCCCUCGCUCUCCUGGCAGAUGAAAUAAGGGUGUCGACUGGGGUUAG